AGUAACGCGUAGGUAAUCUAUCCUUACAUUUGGGAUAACAUUGGGAAACUGGUGCUAAUACCGAAUGGUCUUCUUUGCUGCGGGGCGAAGGAGUAAAGGUGGCCUCUUCAUGAAAGCUACCGUGUAGGGAUGAGCCUGCGUACCAUUAGCUAGUAGGUGGGGUAACGGCCCACCUAGGCUACGAUGGUUAGCGGGUCUGAGAGGAUGAUCCGCCACACUGGAACUGAAACACGGACCAG
RNAcentral lists this ribosomal RNA (239 nucleotides) under uncultured bacterium. Its description in RNAcentral is "partial 16S ribosomal RNA". It matches the Rfam family "Bacterial small subunit ribosomal RNA", at positions 109 to 334 of the family's 1533-position model. The record is from RNAcentral.